CCUACGGGAGGCUGCAGUGGGGAAUAUUGCACAAUGGGCGCAACCCUGAUGCAGCGACGCCGCGUGAGUGAAGAAGUAACUCGUGAUGUAAAGCUCUUUCAGCAGGGAAGAAAAUGACGGUACCUGUGCAAGAAGCCAUGGCUAACUCCGUGCCAGCAGCCGCGGCAAUACGCAGGGGGCAAGCGUUAUCCGGAUUUACUGGGUGUAAAGGGAGCGUAGACGGCAGUGCAAGUCUGGAGUGAAAGUCGGGGGCUCAACCCCAGGACUGCACUGGAAACUGUACGGUUGGAGUGCAGUAGAGGUAGGUGGAAUUCGUGGUGUAGCGGUGAAAUGCGUAGAUAUUAGGAGGAACACCGGUGGCGAAGGCGGCUUACUGGACUGUAACUGACGUUGAGGCUCGAAAGCGUGGGGAGCAAACAGGAUUAGAUACCCCAGUAGUC
This 440-nucleotide ribosomal RNA is filed under the name uncultured bacterium. RNAcentral's name for it is "partial 16S ribosomal RNA". It matches the Rfam family "Bacterial small subunit ribosomal RNA", at positions 338 to 795 of the family's 1533-position model. The record is from RNAcentral.